GCAAUAAAAGCUUGUCAAGGCAAGGUUCAGGGCACUCUCCUCUUGAGAGAGUGGCCCUGCCAUCCCUUUUCCUCCACAGGACUCGAUAGUCCAUGUGAAUCUGUCUUGUCUCAGCGACAACACCGCAGACACUGCUCGCCAAUGACCACAUCAUUUGACAAAAUA
Long non-coding RNA from Phyllostomus discolor (pale spear-nosed bat), 165 nucleotides. RefSeq lists it as uncharacterized. Lineage: Eukaryota; Metazoa; Chordata; Mammalia; Chiroptera; Phyllostomidae. The record is from RefSeq and is a predicted model, not a curated record. The transcript has 3 exons.